CAACCCUGGACCCUGUGGGCUAUAACCAUGCUGUAGUGUGUGUAAACAUCCUACACUCUCAGCUGUGAGCUCAAGGUAGCUGGGAGAGGGUUGUUUACUCCUUCUGCCAUGGAAAACAUCAGCUGAAGAAGGAACAGUCUC
This is a microRNA precursor of Chlorocebus sabaeus (green monkey), 141 nucleotides long. Ensembl annotates it as microRNA 30c-1. Its record names the gene MIR30C1. Lineage: Eukaryota; Metazoa; Chordata; Mammalia; Primates; Cercopithecidae. The record is from Ensembl.